RNAcentral lists this ribosomal RNA (252 nucleotides) under uncultured bacterium. RNAcentral describes it as "partial 16S ribosomal RNA". It matches the Rfam family "Bacterial small subunit ribosomal RNA", at positions 524 to 776 of the family's 1533-position model. The record is from RNAcentral.
UACGAAUGGGGCAAGCGUUGUUCGGAAUCACUGGGCUUAAGCGUGCGCAGGCGGACUUGAAAGUCAGGAGUGAAAUCCCGGGGCUCAACCCCGGAAUUGCUCUUGAAACUCCAAGUCUAGAAUCCUGGAGAGGUCGGGAGAAUUCCUAGUGUAGAGGUGAAAUUCGCAGAUAUUAGGAGGAAUACCAGUGGCGUAGGCGCCCGACUGGACAGGCAUUGACGCUCAGGCACGAAAGCGUGGGGAUUAAACAGG